RNAcentral lists this ribosomal RNA (425 nucleotides) under uncultured bacterium. RNAcentral describes it as "partial 16S ribosomal RNA". It matches the Rfam family "Bacterial small subunit ribosomal RNA", at positions 355 to 773 of the family's 1533-position model. The record is from RNAcentral.
UGGGGAAUUUUGGACAAUGGGCGAAAGCCUGAUCCAGCAAUGCCGCGUGUGUGAAGAAGGCCUUCGGGUUGUAAAGCACUUUUGUCCGGAAAGAAAUCCUUGGCUCUAAUACAGUCGGGGGAUGACGGUACCGGAAGAAUAAGCACCGGCUAACUACGUGCCAGCAGCCGCGGUAAUACGUAGGGUGCAAGCGUUAAUCGGAAUUACUGGGCGUAAAGCGUGCGCAGGCGGUUUGCUAAGACCGAUGUGAAAUCCCGGGCUCAACCUGGACUGCAUUGGUGACUGGCAGGCUAGAGUAUGGCAGAGGGGGGUGAGAAUUCCACGCGUAGCAGUGAAAUGCGUAGAGAUGUGGAGGAAUACCGAUGGCGAAGGCAGCCCCCUGGCAAGUCACUGACGCUCAUGCACGAAAGCGUGGGGGAGCAAAC